GACGAACGCUGGCGGCGUGCUUAACACAUGCAAGUCGAACGGUGAAGCGCCUUCCUUUUUGGUGGGUGUGGAUGAGUGGCGAACGGGUGAGUAACACGUGAGUAACCUGCCCCCUUCUUCUGGAUAACCGCAUGAAAGUGUGGCUAAUACGGGAUAUUCUGGGUCUGUCGCAUGAUGGGUCUGGGAAAGAUAUUGUUUCGGUGGGGGAUGGGCUCGCGGCCUAUCAGCUUGUUGGUGGGGUGAUGGCCUACCAAGGCGGUGACGGGUAGCCGGCCUGAGAGGGUGGACGGUCACACUGGGACUGAGACACGGCCCAGACGCAUACGGGAGGCAGCAGUGGGGAAUAUUGCACAAUGGGCGAAAGCCUGAUGCAGCGACGCCGCGUGAGGGAUGGAGGCCUUCGGGUUGUGAACCUCGUUCGCCAGUGAAGCAGGCCUGCCUCGUUUGUGGGUGGGUUGACGGUAGCUGGAUAAGAAGCGCCGGCUAACUACGUG
RNAcentral lists this ribosomal RNA (494 nucleotides) under uncultured bacterium. RNAcentral describes it as "partial 16S ribosomal RNA". It matches the Rfam family "Bacterial small subunit ribosomal RNA", at positions 28 to 507 of the family's 1533-position model. The record is from RNAcentral.